RNAcentral lists this ribosomal RNA (411 nucleotides) under Actinomycetes bacterium. RNAcentral's name for it is "Actinobacteria bacterium partial 16S ribosomal RNA". It matches the Rfam family "Bacterial small subunit ribosomal RNA", at positions 355 to 776 of the family's 1533-position model. Lineage: Bacteria; Bacillati; Actinomycetota; Actinomycetes. The record is from RNAcentral.
UGGGGAAUAUUGCACAAUGGGCGCAAGCCUGAUGCAGCGACGCCGCGUGGGGGAUGACGGCCUUCGGGUUGUAAACUCCUUUCGCUAGGGACGAAGCUUUUUGUGACGGUACCUAGAUAAGAAGCACCGGCUAACUACGUGCCAGCAGCCGCGGUAAUACGCAGGGUGCGAGCGUUGUCCGGAAUUACUGGGCGUAAAGGGCUCGUAGGUGGUUUGUCGCGUCGUCUGUGAAAUUCCGGGGCUUAACUCCGGGCGUGCAGGCGAUACGGGCAUAACUUGAGUACUGUAGGGGUAACUGGAAGUCCUGGUGUAGCGGUGAAAUGCGCAGAUAUCAGGAGGAACACCGAUGGCGAAGGCAGGUUACUGCGCAGUUACUGACGCUGAGGAGCGAAAGCAUGGGUAGCGAACAGG